Molecule: long non-coding RNA, 2591 nt
Organism: Oncorhynchus tshawytscha (Chinook salmon)
Lineage: Eukaryota; Metazoa; Chordata; Actinopteri; Salmoniformes; Salmonidae
Source: Ensembl
UCAAAACACACACGGUUCAUCAUUAUAGUCAAAACACACACGGUUCAUCAUUAUAGUCAAAACACACACGGUUCAUCAUUAUAGUCAAAACACACACGGUUCAUCAUUAUAGUCAAAACACACAUGGUUCAUCAUUAUAGUCAAAACACACAUGGUUCAUCAUUAUAGUCAAAACACACAUGGUUCAUCAUUAUAGUCAAAACACACAUGGUUCAUCAUUAUAGUCAAAACACACUUUGCUUUUAAACAACAAAUUAUAAAAUCCCAAUGUCGAUGCAUUCAUUGGGACAGUAUCAGAUGAGCAGUAUUGCAUUCUCCAUGUCGGCAGAGAGUAGACAGUAGGCCUUCUCUAGGGCCCUAGACCACAGAGAGUAGACAGUAGGCCUUCUCUAGGGCCCUAGACCACAGAGAGUAGACAGUAGGCCUUCUCCAGGGCCCUAGACCACAGAGAGUAGACAGUAGGCCUUCUCUAGGGCCCUAGACCUCAGAGAGUAGACAGUAGGCCUUCUCUAGGGCCCUAGACCAGAAACAACACAAACAGCCCAGAGACCAUAACUCAUUCAUGCGGUGAUGUCAGUGGGAGACUAAAUGGAAAUGUGACCUAAAUGGAAGUCAGGGGCCCCGCCAGGUUCUAGGAGUUCAAAUACUUUAUUUUCCAGGGGUCGGAGGUCAGCCAAGCAGGGAUGUCUGGGUCACUUUGCGCCUUCAGAGAUUACCAAUGUGAUCCUGGUUAAUCCACAUGCUAACUAUCAGCAGGCAGGGCCCCACACUGUUCUCUCUCUCACUCACUCAGCGUAGCCUAGUGGUUAGAGCGUUGGACUAGUAACCGGAAGGUUGCAAGUUCAAACCCCCGAGCCGACAAGGUACAAAUCUGUUGUUCUGCCCCUGAACAGGCAGUUAACCCACUGUUCCUAGGCCAUCAUUGAAAAUAAGAUUUUUUUAUUAACUGACUUGCCUGGUUAAAUAAAGGUAAACAUUUUAAAAAACUCACUCACACACCAAGAGAAAUCUACAGGAUCUGCUCUCUCUCUCUGAAUAGAAUAGAUGAUGUUUACACCACAGUAAACCAUGACGUCUGGUCUGGGCCACCGUGUUGGCAUCACCACCACCAGCAGAUUAAACAGAUCAGUGCCUGUCUUCACCUGUCAAUCACAGACGCAUGGCACCCUAUUCCCUUCAUAGUGCACUACUUUAGACCAGGUCCUUGGCACCCUAUUCCCUACAUAGUGCACUAUGUUAGACCUGGGUCCUGGUCCUGGGUGCCAUUUUGGAUGCACUCUUAGUGACCUUCAGUGCGAGAGCAGUUGAGGUCAGAAUGAAGUUGUUUAGCUUCACGUCCACCACACUAAGGGCUCAGAUUACGCGGUUGCCAGGGGAUUCCAAUAUCACAAGGUAAAAGAACACUACACACUGAUCGACUGAUGCUCCUGUGUGGUUUAUUGAAACAAUGUGAGGACUGGGAACACACUGUAACGAGACUCCCAUUAGUGACCCUCAGAGACAUUUAGAGUUGGGACGUUGACACGACACCACAAUAUUCUAAAGGCAGCCAUGUUGGUUCUCCAUUAACAUUUCACAGGGAAUAUUUAAACACGAUGCUAUAUAACUGGAUGUCUAGAAUUUAGAACAAUAUUCAAAGAGUUCUUUAAAAAAGCUAACUGAGCUUUUCUAAAUAUAUGGCUCUGCUGUCCACUUCAUUCAUCGCCCUUUGACCUCUUCCUACUGCGCAGCACCCUGACUGUGUGAUCUAUCCAGGUCACGGCAGUGGCACCGCUGUCAGAGUACAUUGUGUUCUACCCCAAGCUAGCCUGCGUGCCAAUCUGCUUCGGCUCUUCUGCCCGAAUACUCCUGGUGUUGUCAUGCCAACAAUGACAACGGAGGAGCAGGCCAAAUCUCAACCAGAUCUGGGGACCAGGCUGACGCCAAGCGGAGCUGGAACUCACAACGUUGGACCUAAUGGGCAACAUCACACGUCACUCGUAGUCAGCCGACAACAGUCUUCGCCAACAGAGCAAGAGAUUAGUCUGUCUCUCCAUGACAGAUGGCUUUACAUCUCAGUGAAGGUCACUGAUGAACUCCAGCCAACAUGCUACACCAGUGGUCCCCAAUCCUGGUCUUAGGAACCCAAAGGAGUUUCCCCCCUGAGCACUAAUACACUUCAUUCAACUAAUCAACAAGCUUUUUAUUAUUUCAAUCAGGUGUGAUAGUGCAAAAACAAAAAUGGUUCCCAAGGACCAGGAUUGGGAAACACUGACUACUACACCAUGUUAUGGUGAGCCUUCACCCUGCUGACUACUACACCAUGUUAUAGUUAUGGUGAGCCUUCACUCUGCCGACUACUACACCAUGUUAUGGUGAGCCUUCACUCUGCCGACUACUACACCAUGUUAUGGUGAGCCUUCACUCUGCCGACUACUACACCAUGUUAUGGUGAGCCUUCACUCUGCCGACUACUACACCAUGUUAUGGUGAGCCUUCACUCUGCUACUACUACACCAUGUUAUGAUGAGCCUUCACUCUGCUACUACUACACCAUGUUAUGGUGAGCCUUCACUCUGCUACUACUACACCAUGUUAUGGUGAGCCUUCAC